CACUGUACUAUUAGCAUGUGGGUGAUGAAGAGCCCUGCUGGAGCACAGCAUCCAUGUGCAGGCAGAGCUCAGGGCCUAAGUAGGUCCUGUGGUGACCCUUACACCACCACAGGGCUUCCCCUUGGCCACUGGGGAGAUCCCUUCUGUAGUUUGGGAUCCAUGGGAACGGUGUAGCAUAGGCUGUCCCUCAUGGGCAGCUUUCCUGUGCUACUUUGCAGACUUGAAGUGAGGGCAAGGAAAAUGCCAGACAGACCCCGACAUGCAUCAUCUGGCUCUGGAAAGACCUUAAGAUCCUCUUGGCUCUGAUGUUGCAGGUUGGGAACUUGCAAAUGUGUUUGGUCACUGGAACUGUGGGGAAGGGAGUUGGACAGCUGUCUGGGGACAAGGGCUUUUCCGCACACUUCUUCCAGAGGUGAGAGGAUGGUGGGCACAAGUAGGCCAUGCUGCGGGCUUCACAGUGAGCUUGAGAGUAAGGACCCCAAAUGCUGCAUAUGCAAGGCAGGGAUGCUCAGGCAUGUGCUAAACUAGGCCUUGGAAGACUGAGCCCAGUUCUACUGUAUUGAGAGAGUUUAUUGUGAAGAGAAAAAAAACAUGCUGUAUGGAUAACUGCAUUGAAAAGGCCUGCAAAGACAUCUGUAGAAUUGCUGUUUAGCUAAUAUGUAAGGUAGGGCGUUAAAGUGCUUGAGGGCAAGAUAUUAAGGUCAGUACUUAAGGUCAGAAGAGAAUAUGAUCAUUUUGUUGACCUGCAUGACACUGGCAAUAAUUCCUCGUUAAGCAGAUUUGAGGAAGAUGUUGGGUCUUGAUUUAAAGACUUGGUUAAUGGGGGAAUAAAUACCUCAGGGGGACAUGGGAUUGGAAGGGAAUUCCUAGGUUACUGAGUCCAGCCCCGUGCCAUUAUGUGCACUUCGCCAUAUCCCAACAAAGCUCCAGCUUGGAACUAGUUGGGAUUUCUUUGGUUCCAGAACCUCACUAUUCUGGUCGAAAACCUUCUAAAUAUACCUGUGGCUGACUUGGGCCUUUUGUUUUUGUGCGACCCUUGGGCAUUUUUACACACGUGGGCACUUUGAAAAGCGCCUGGCGCUGCGACACUUGCAGUUGUAUGAGCAGUGAAAUGCAUGUCAGAGCUGAGAAAAUGGCGGUGGUGUGCUUUUGAACUAAAA
This is a long non-coding RNA of Gavialis gangeticus (Gharial), 1160 nucleotides long. RefSeq lists it as uncharacterized. NCBI's taxonomy places the organism in Eukaryota, Metazoa, Chordata, Crocodylia, Gavialidae. The transcript is spliced from 2 exons. The record is from RefSeq and is a predicted model, not a curated record.